Molecule: ribosomal RNA, 386 nt
Filed under: marine Metazoa environmental sample
Lineage: Eukaryota; Metazoa
Description: partial small subunit ribosomal RNA
Rfam family: Eukaryotic small subunit ribosomal RNA
Source: RNAcentral
AGCUCCAAUAGCGUAUAUUAAAGUUGCUGCAGUUAAAAAGCUCGUAGUUGGAUCUCGGGGUACCUGGUCUAGCCGGUAUAGCUCACGCUAAAACUGGGCUGACCCCCCAACGUGAGGUAUUCGUCUCCGGGUGCACUUCAUUGGGUGCUCGUGAGGGGCCUCGUAGUUACUGUGAAAAAAUUAGAGUGUUCAAAGCAGGCUCAUAUGUUCGGAUAGUCGUGCAUGGAAUAACUGAAUACGUGACUGGCGAUUGGAAGGGGGGGUCGGCGACUGGUCAAAUGAUUAAGAGUGACUGCCAGGGGCAUUGGUAUGGCGGGGUUAGAUGUGAAAUUCUUGGAUCCUCGCCAGACCAACAAAAGCGAAAGCAUUUGCCAAGAAUGUCUUCA